GGGGAUUUAGCUCAGUUGGUAGAGCAUCAGAUUUGCAUUCUGAGGGUCAGGAGUUCGAUUCUCCUAGUCUCCA
RNAcentral lists this transfer RNA (73 nucleotides) under Chlamydiales bacterium SCGC AB-751-O23. It matches the Rfam family "tRNA". Rfam says of the family: Transfer RNA (tRNA) molecules are approximately 80 nucleotides in length. Their secondary structure includes four short double-helical elements and three loops (D, anti-codon, and T loops). Further hydrogen bonds mediate the characteristic L-shaped molecular structure. tRNAs have two regions of fundamental functional importance: the anti-codon, which is responsible for specific mRNA codon recognition, and the 3' end, to which the tRNAs corresponding amino acid is attached (by aminoacyl-tRNA synthetases). tRNAs cope with the degeneracy of the genetic code in two manners: having more than one tRNA (with a specific anti-codon) for a particular amino acid; and 'wobble' base-pairing, i.e. permitting non-standard base-pairing at the 3rd anti-codon position. The record is from Rfam by way of RNAcentral. Lineage: Bacteria; Pseudomonadati; Chlamydiota; Chlamydiia; Chlamydiales.